GCGCUAGGCUGUGCUGGAUUCUUUUAUCCAAAACGACGCCUUUUCAUAUCCUAAGUCCCUAACCUCUUCUAACGACCACAAUCUUCACCUCCGCCACCGCCACAUAAACACCACUCCAACUACCACAAAUGGCCGAACCACCACCGACACUCCUCCAAAAAGUCCUGACGGUAGACACAAAAUUCUCCCACUACCUCCAUUCCAAAUUCCACACUCGCCUCCCAAUAUUCUUUCUCCUCAUCCUAGAAAUUUCCGCUGACUUCCGCUUUUCCUUCCCAAUUUCCCUCUCCCUUUUGUUUGCCCUUCCCCUCCCUUCCCUCCUUCCUUUCUUUUCCUCUCUCCUACUUGGUCUCCUCCUUGAUAUCGCCACCGUCGGCCUUGUCAAAAUCCUCUUGCGCCGCCCUCGCCCUCCUUAUAACCACCUCUCCUCCAUGUCCACCCCUGUCUCCGCCGACCACUUUUCCUUCCCUAGUGGCCAUUCCUCUCGUGUUUCCUUUGUUGCUGCAUUGGUUUUUCUCUAUAAGGAGGUGAUGGAGGUAGCGGCUGUGGAGGUGAGGGAAAAAGGUGGAGUCUUUGGAAGUUGGGUGGGGGAAGACGGGAAGUUGGUGGACGUCGUGGUGGUGGGAGUUUGUGUUUGGGCAGUUGUUACGGCGGUUUCUAGGGUUUUAUUAGGGAGGCAUUACUUUUUUGAUGUCUUCGCAGGGUUUUGUUUGGGAGUGAUUGAAGGGAUUUUCGCCUUUCGGGUUUUGAGGUUUGAGGAUAUUUUGAGGUUUUGUAGUGUUCAAAGAUCUAUGAAAUUUAAACAACGUGAACCUUAAAAAGUUUUGGUUCAGAUAGUAGACAGGAGUAGAUGAUGGACUAUGCUUCAAAUAAGGAAUGAUGCUAUCCAUGAUGUUUACAGAAUGUGACUAAAUUUACAAGUAUGUUUGACUUAGUUAGAUGAUGAGCACCUUUCGUCAUCAAAUCUGGUCAAGGUAGAAGCUAAGUGCUUGGAAUGGAAGGCAUGGGAGAUACUUCCUUUGAAACAGAUCAUCGGAUGGACCUCUCUGGGUUUAUCUUAAUGCCAGAUCCAUAUUCAAGGUAUCAUUUUCUCUGAUGCGAAGCCCCAGAAUUCGAAGAUGAUUGGUGCGAAUUCUCUGAACACACAGAAAACUGAAAUGUGCUGCUGGCGAAUGCCAUUUAGCCAACUAAGUUGUGGCAUUGUUUUGUCUCAAUUUGCAUAGUUCAUUGGCCCUUUGGCAUUAAAUAUGAUUUCUCGAUUCUCUUUAAUAUCACAUAAAUGCAAUUUGGUGCUUGCUACAA
This is an RNA transcript of Populus trichocarpa (black cottonwood), 1302 nucleotides long. It is a transcript of the gene named probable lipid phosphate phosphatase beta, with no coding region annotated. NCBI's taxonomy places the organism in Eukaryota, Viridiplantae, Streptophyta, Magnoliopsida, Malpighiales, Salicaceae. The record is from RefSeq and is a predicted model, not a curated record. The transcript is spliced from 3 exons.